GGAGACGUGGCAGAGCGGCCGAAUGCACUCGCCUUGAAAGCGAGCGUCCCGCACGGGACCGGGGGUUCGAAUCCCCCCGUCUCCG
RNAcentral lists this transfer RNA (85 nucleotides) under Corynebacterium sphenisci. RNAcentral describes it as "tRNA-Ser". It matches the Rfam family "tRNA". Rfam says of the family: Transfer RNA (tRNA) molecules are approximately 80 nucleotides in length. Their secondary structure includes four short double-helical elements and three loops (D, anti-codon, and T loops). The record is from RNAcentral. Lineage: Bacteria; Bacillati; Actinomycetota; Actinomycetes; Mycobacteriales; Corynebacteriaceae. RNAcentral also lists the same sequence under 1 other name.